Molecule: ribosomal RNA, 492 nt
Filed under: uncultured bacterium
Lineage: Bacteria
Description: partial 16S ribosomal RNA
Rfam family: Bacterial small subunit ribosomal RNA
Source: RNAcentral
AGUGAACGCUGGCGGUAGGCCUAACACAUGCAAGUCGAACGGCAGCACAGUAAGAGCUUGCUCUUACGGGUGGCGAGUGGCGGACGGGUGAGGAAUACAUCGGAAUCUACUUUUUCGUGGGGGAUAACGUAGGGAAACUUACGCUAAUACCGCAUACGACCUACGGGUGAAAGCAGGGGAUCUUCGGACCUUGCGCGAUUGAAUGGGCCGAUGUCGGAUUAGCUAGUUGGCGGGGUAAAGGCCCACCAAGGCGACGAUCCGUAGCUGGUCUGAGAGGAUGAUCGGCCACACUGGAACUGAGACACGGUCCAGACUCCUACGGGAGGCAGCAGUGGGCAAUAUUGGACAAUGGGCGCAAGCCUGCUCCAGCCAUACCGCGUGGGUGAAGAAGGCCUUCGGGUUGUAAAGCCCUUUUGUUGGGAAAGAAAAGCAGCAGGUUAAUACCCCGCUGUUCUGACGGUACCCAAAGAAUAAGCACCGGCUAACUUCGUG